GGUUUCUUGAUAAAGAAAAAUAAGAAAUCUAACCUGCCCAAUGAGAAAUAAGGUUAAAUGGCCGCGGUAUUUUGACCGUGCGAAGGUAGCAUAAUCAUUAGUCUUUUAAUUGUGGACUGGAAUGAAUGGUUGGACGUAAUAAUGUCUUUUUUAUUUUUAUAGAUUGAAUUUUACUUUUUAGUGAAGAGGCUAAAAUGAGACCAAAAGACAAGAAGACCCUAUCAAGUUUUAUUAUUAUAAUAUUGGUAAUUAAAGGUAAUAGAUAAAUAUAAGGUAAUUUUACUGGGGCGGUGAGUUAAAACUAAUUAGGAUCCAAAAUUUUUGAUUGUUUGAUUAAAUUACUGUAGGGAUAACAGCGUAAUCUUAUUUGAGAGUUCAUAUCGACAAUAAGGGUUGCGACCUCGAUGUUGGAUUAGAAUUCCUUCUUGGAGCAGAAUCUAAGGAUGGUGGUCUGUUCGACCAUUAAAAUUCUACA
RNAcentral lists this ribosomal RNA (475 nucleotides) under Parascutigera latericia. Its description in RNAcentral is "partial 16S ribosomal RNA". It matches the Rfam family "Bacterial large subunit ribosomal RNA", at positions 1817 to 2600 of the family's 2925-position model. The record is from RNAcentral. Lineage: Eukaryota; Metazoa; Arthropoda; Chilopoda; Scutigeromorpha; Scutigeridae.